CCUACGGGAGGCUGCAGUGAGGAAUAUUGGUCAAUGGGCGGAAGCCUGAACCAGCCAAGUCGCGUGAGGGAAUAAGGCCCUACGGGUCGUAAACCUCUUUUGCCGGGGAGCAAGGGCGGGGACGUGUCCCGGCCCGGAGAGUACCCGGAGAAACAGAAUCGGCUAACUCCGUGCCAGCAGCCGCGGUAAUAAGGAGGAUGCGAGCGUUAACCGGAUUUAUUGGGUUUAAAGGGGGCGUAGGCGGGCUUUUAAGUCAGCGGUAAAAAUUCGGGGCUCAACCCCGUCCGGCCGUUGAAACUGGGGGCCUUGAGUGGGCGAGAAGAAGGCGGAAUGCGUGGUGUAGCGGUGAAAUGCUUAGAUAUCACGAAGAACUCCGAUUGCGAAGGCAGUUCACUGGACUGCAACUGACACUGAGGCUCGAAAGUGUGGGUAUCAAACAGGAUUAGAUACCCUUGUAGUC
RNAcentral lists this ribosomal RNA (460 nucleotides) under uncultured bacterium. Its description in RNAcentral is "partial 16S ribosomal RNA". It matches the Rfam family "Bacterial small subunit ribosomal RNA", at positions 338 to 795 of the family's 1533-position model. The record is from RNAcentral.